GACGAACGCUGGCGGCGUGCUUAACACAUGCAAGUCGAACGGAAAGACCCUGCUUUUGUGGGGUGCUCGAGUGGCGAACGGGUGAGUAACACGUGAGUAACCUGCCCUUGACUUUGGGAUAACUUCAGGAAACUGGGGCUAAUACCGGAUAGGAGCUCCUGCUGCAUGGUGGGGGUUGGAAAGUUUCGGCGGUUGGGGAUGGACUCGCGGCUUAUCAGCUUGUUGGUGGGGUAGUGGCUUACCAAGGCUUUGACGGGUAGCCGGCCUGAGAGGGUGACCGGCGACUGGGGGAUGGAGAUGAGGCACGGCCCCCAAGGGGAGGCAGAGGGGGGAAUUAUUGCACAAGGGGCGGAGGCCUGAGGAGGCAGCGGCGGGUGCGGGAGGGCGGCUUGCGUGUGGAACCCCGGUUGCGCUGGGGACGAGGGGUGGGUGAGGGAAAGGGGAAAAAAAGCACGGGCAAAGACGGGC
Molecule: ribosomal RNA, 468 nt
Filed under: uncultured bacterium
Lineage: Bacteria
Description: partial 16S ribosomal RNA
Rfam family: Bacterial small subunit ribosomal RNA (bases 13-373)
Source: RNAcentral